AUUAAAAUAGCUUAUAUAGAGCAUAAUAUUGAAGAUAUUAAGAGAUUUUAAAUCUUUUAAUA
RNAcentral lists this transfer RNA (62 nucleotides) under Abscondita chinensis. RNAcentral's name for it is "tRNA-Phe". Lineage: Eukaryota; Metazoa; Arthropoda; Insecta; Coleoptera; Lampyridae. The record is from RNAcentral.